Molecule: ribosomal RNA, 433 nt
Filed under: uncultured bacterium
Lineage: Bacteria
Description: partial 16S ribosomal RNA
Rfam family: Bacterial small subunit ribosomal RNA
Source: RNAcentral
AACGAACGCUGGCGGCAUGCCUAACACAUGCAAGUCGAACGAGACCUUCGGGUCUAGUGGCGCACGGGUGCGUAACGCGUGGGAACCUGCCCUUAGGUUCGGAAUAACUCCCCGAAAGGGGUGCUAAUACCGGAUAAUGUCUUCGGACCAAAGAUUUAUCGCCUUUGGAUGGGCCCGCGUUGGAUUAGCUAGUUGGUAGGGUAAAAGCCUACCAAGGCGACGAUCCAUAGCUGGUCUGAGAGGAUGAUCAGCCACACUGGGACUGAGACACGGCCCAGACUCCUACGGGAGGCAGCAGUGGGGAAUAUUGGACCAGGGGCGAAAGCCUGAGCCAGCAAUGCCGCGUGAGUGAUGAAGGCCUUAGGGUUGUAAAGCUCUUUUACCCGGGAUGAUAAUGACAGUACCGGGAGAAUAAGCCCCGGCUAACUCCGUG